Molecule: unclassified non-coding RNA, 326 nt
Filed under: Hevea brasiliensis (rubber tree)
Lineage: Eukaryota; Viridiplantae; Streptophyta; Magnoliopsida; Malpighiales; Euphorbiaceae
Source: RNAcentral
GAUAACCAAUAACUGUAGGAACUGGAAGAACAAAAUAACUAAAAUAAAAACUCAGCUAUUUUUCUUAAUUUGACAGUGCAAACGGUGGCAAUCACUAAUCUUUUGCCAAGGCAUACAACACAAUUAUAUAAUUUUCUAAACAAUUAAAUUAGAUUCCAAAAUUCUAGAUAACACUAAUCUAGGAAACAAAUUGGAAGGAAAAGAUCAAUGACAGUCCAAUCAAUGACUUUGUUAAAUUUGGAGUGUUAGUCAAAUUACAUAAUAAUUCAUUUCAAUUCGGGCUUAUAUAACAAUUAGAUUAUCUUACAUAUCAAAAUGACUAGCUA